GUGAACGCUGGCGGUAGGCCUAACACCUGCCAGUCGAACGGCAGCACCGUAAGAGCUUGCUCUUACGGGUGGCGAGUGGCGGACGGGUGAGGAAUACAUCGGAAUCUACUUUUUCGUGGGGGAUAACGUAGGGAAACUUACGCUAAUACCGCAUACGACCUACGGGUGAAAGCAGGGGAUCUUCGGACCUUGCGCGAUUGAAUGAGCCGAUGUCGGAUUAGCUAGUUGGCGGGGUAAAGGCCCACCAAGGCGACGAUCCGUAGCUGGUCUGAGAGGAUGAUCAGCCACACUGGAACUGAGACACGGUCCAGACUCCUACGGGAGGCAGCAGUGGGGAAUAUUGGACAAUGGGCGCAAGCCUGAUCCAGCCAUACCGCGUGGGUGAAGAAGGCCUUCGGGUUGUAAAGCCCUUUUGUUGGGAAAGAAAAGCAGCAGGUUAAUACCCCGCUGUUCUGACGGUACCCAAAGAAUAAGCACCGGCUAACUUCGUG
Molecule: ribosomal RNA, 491 nt
Filed under: uncultured bacterium
Lineage: Bacteria
Description: partial 16S ribosomal RNA
Rfam family: Bacterial small subunit ribosomal RNA
Source: RNAcentral